Molecule: ribosomal RNA, 497 nt
Filed under: uncultured bacterium
Lineage: Bacteria
Description: partial 16S ribosomal RNA
Rfam family: Bacterial small subunit ribosomal RNA
Source: RNAcentral
GAUGAACGCUGGCGGCGUGCCUAAUACAUGCAAGUCGAGCGAACAGAUGAGGAGCUUGCUCCUCUGACGUUAGCGUCGGACGGGUGAGUAACACGUGGAUAACCUACCUAUAAGACUGGGAUAACUUCGGGAAACCGGAGCUAAUACCGGAUAAUAUAUUGAACCGCAUGGUUCAAUAGUGAAAGACGGUUUUGCUGUCACUUAUAGUUGAACCCGAGCCGCAUUAGCUAGUUGGUAAGGUAACGGCUUACCAAGGCAACGAUGCGUAGCCGACCUGAGAGGGUGAUCGGCCACACUGGAACUGAGACACGGUCCAGACUCCUAAGGGAGGCAGCAGUAGGGAAUCUUCCGCAAUGGGCGAAAGCCUGACGGAGCAACGCAGCGUGAGUGAUGAAGGUCUUCGGAUCGUAAAACUCUGUUAUUAGGGAAGAACAAAUGUGUAAGUAACUAUGCACGUCUUGACGGUACCUAAUCAGAAAGCCACGGCUAACUACGUG